Molecule: ribosomal RNA, 253 nt
Filed under: uncultured bacterium
Lineage: Bacteria
Description: partial 16S ribosomal RNA
Rfam family: Bacterial small subunit ribosomal RNA
Source: RNAcentral
UACGUAGGGGGCAAGCGUUGUCCGGAUUCAUUGGGCGUAAAGAGCGUGUAGGCGGCCAGGUAGGUCGGUUGUGAAAACUGGAGGCUCAACCUUCAGAGGUCGACCGAAACCAUCUGGCUAGAGUCCGGGAGAGGAGAGUGGAAUUCCUGGUGUAGCGGUGAAAUGCGCAGAUAUCGGGAGGAACACCGGUGGCGAAGGCGGUUCUCUGGGCCUUACCUGACGCUGAGGAGCGAAAGCGUGGGGAGCGAACAGG